AACGAACGCUGGCGGCAGGCUUAACACAUGCAAGUCGAACGCUCGUAGCAAUACGGGAGUGGCGGACGGGUGAGUAACGCGUGGGAACGUGCCCUGAGGUACGGAAUAACUGCGGGAAACUGCAGCUAAUACCGUAUGAGCCCCGCAAGGGGGAAAGAUUUAUCGCCUUGGGAGCGGCCCGCGUCGGAUUAGCUAGUUGGUGGGGUAACGGCCUACCAAGGCUUCGAUCCGUAGCUGGUCUGAGAGGACGAUCAGCCACACUGGGACUGAGACACGGCCCAGACUCCUACGGGAGGCAGCAGUGGGGAAUCUUGCGCAAUGGGGGCAACCCUGACGCAGCCAUGCCGCGUGAAUGAUGAAGGCCUUAGGGUUGUAAAGUUCUUUGCCCGUGACGAUGAUGACGGUAACGGGAGAAUAAGCUCCGGCUAACUUCGUGCCAGCAGCCGCGGUAAU
RNAcentral lists this ribosomal RNA (453 nucleotides) under uncultured bacterium. RNAcentral describes it as "bacterial SSU rRNA". It matches the Rfam family "Bacterial small subunit ribosomal RNA", at positions 29 to 524 of the family's 1533-position model. The record is from RNAcentral.